RNAcentral lists this ribosomal RNA (250 nucleotides) under uncultured bacterium. Its description in RNAcentral is "partial 16S ribosomal RNA". It matches the Rfam family "Bacterial small subunit ribosomal RNA", at positions 524 to 773 of the family's 1533-position model. The record is from RNAcentral.
UACGGAGGGGGCUAGCGUUGUUCGGAAUUACUGGGCGUAAAGGGCGCGUAGGCGGCCCGUCAAGUCAGGCGUGAAAGUCCCGGGCUCAACCCGGGGACGGCGCUUGAGACUGGCGGGCUCGAGUCCGGGAGAGGAUGGCGGAAUUCCCAGUGUAGAGGUGAAAUUCGUAGAUAUUGGGAAGAACACCGGUGGCGAAGGCGGCCAUCUGGACCGGCACUGACGCUGAGGCGCGAAAGCGUGGGGAGCAAAC